This is a non-coding RNA of Danio rerio (zebrafish), 311 nucleotides long. The record is from RefSeq and is a predicted model, not a curated record. NCBI's taxonomy places the organism in Eukaryota, Metazoa, Chordata, Actinopteri, Cypriniformes, Danionidae.
AAUUAAUUAAACUGCAUUAAGGUUCAAAUUUGUCUUGCAGGGUCAAUAACAAUCAGUCAUCUGUCAGACAGAAUUCAAGACUCUUUCUCCAGGCCGACUAAUUGUCUCCAGUGCAAAUGAUCCUCUGUCAUCACACUCCCUGAGGACACUCCAGAGUAGCAGGUCUACAUGUUCUGUUAAGAGACUGGAUUCUGAGAGCGAGAUCCUGUGAAGUGUUCAUCAAAGCUGAAGAGAAGAACUGGAUCUGUGUUCAGCAACUGUCCGGAGUUGGUGGAUGUUCUGUCCGAGCCUGAUUAAAAGAGUGAUAAACA